Molecule: long non-coding RNA, 2269 nt
Organism: Nematostella vectensis (starlet sea anemone)
Lineage: Eukaryota; Metazoa; Cnidaria; Anthozoa; Actiniaria; Edwardsiidae
Exons: 2
Source: RefSeq, a predicted model, not a curated record
GCACCACACAUAAAUUCUAAUAUAUAUAUAUUUUUGACAGAAACCCCACCCAGCCUAAUCCAAGAUGGCGGCAGUGACAUACAACUCUGAGUUUUUUGGGUUUUCUUGCUGGAUGACAGAUGAUGAAAUUCAACCUCAAAAGUGUCAGGUAAAUGAUGUAUUGCGGAAGGAAUCCCAGGGGGCCGAAGCAAGGGUAACAAGAAAAGGGGGAGCCUGGAUUCAUUGUGCUUCCGGGGAUUUUCUUAUAUUUCUUGUAAUUUUUAAGCCUAAUAUGUAUCUGAAAAAUUAGGGGCCCAGGGCAUGCUGAGCCAAACCCUAGAUCCGCCACUGCAGAUGUAAGUAUGUUAAUGCUAUGCAAUGUGAAUACUAGGGAUUGCCUUUUGACAAUUUUGCACACUACCAGCCCUGCUUGCUAUUAGGUUUGAUAAAUGGAUGGUUUAUUUUAUACAACAUUAAAAUCAAAACAAAAAGUCCUAACCCCAAGAACUAUGUAAUACUACUAAAAAUUAAUUCCUGUACCUGAACAAUGAUCCCUUUACCAGAAUAUUCGUCAUGCAGACAACAGCUAAAGAAAUCCACAAAUGCCUGCAAAACAACAAGAAAGGUUUGUAUACAAAAAAAGAGAACACCAUACUUAGGAAGUGGUGAAGAGGGUAAACUACUGUAUUUCUUACUUUGCAGGACGAGUAAACAGAAAGCAAGGGCCUUGGUUCUAAGCCAGCUCCAGAGGACAAAUUAAGUACCAGCCCCUUCCCCCUAGAAGACAAAAAUUAGUGAUGAGAGUACUUACAGUAAGACCUUAGUACAGUAAAACAAGAUGAUGGCGCUAUUGGUGAUAAUUGUAAAACAUUCCCAAAAAGUUUAUAUUCUUUAUUGAUAAUCUAGUGACCAGGAACUCACACAAAAAAAUACAGAUAAGCCACAAAGAAAAAAUACACAUAAACCACAUUUAGGGGGAAUGUGUGACACAGGAGGAGCAGAGUUUGAUGGGCUACUGUACAUUCUGAUAACAAACCAUAAAAUUCCUUCUAAACUGGUCUAAAAACAUGCUAAAACAUGGUCUCAGUGUUUAAUUAGAAAACCCUUUCAAAUUAUUUUGUGUUAUCUGAGCUACAACCCCGCUGCACACGAAAAAUAAAUAACUUGCAACUUGACGAGGACAAACAGUCCCCAAUAAAUAACCUGCAAAUUGACCAGGACAAACAGUCCCCAAUAAAUAACCUGCAACUUGAUCAAGACAAACAGUCCCCAAUAAAUAACCAGCAACUUGACCAAGACAAACAGUCCCCAAUAAAUAACUUGCAACUUGACCAGGACAAACAGUCCCCAAUAAAUAACCUGCAAAUUGACCAGGACAAACAGUCCCCAAUAAAUAACCUACAACUUGACCAGGACAAACAGUCCCCAAUAAAUAACCUGCAACUUGACCAAGACAAACAGUCCCCAAUAAAUAACCUGCAACUUGACCAGGACAAACAGUCCCCGAUAAAUAACUUGCCCAAGACAAACAGUCCCCAAAAAAUAACUUGCAACUUGACCAGGUUUUCCAAGUAAACACAGAGAAUGUAGGGGGAAUAAUUAGUUAAGAAUUUAGCCAGAAAUACUCUGUUAUUGCCCUUGCCCAACAAACUCUGUCCUACUCUCUUUGCCUUUACCUUGACACCAUUCCAGGAAGAAUUAUAUGGGUCAUCUGUCAUGAAAUCAAAAUAGUAUUAGCAUAUGUAACAUUUAUGGCCUUAUUUAGAGGCACUGAUUCAGCAAAUGAACAUUAAUCAUGUUAAAUCUCUAUGGGUCUAUAAUUGGUAUGUACUGUAUUUCUAUUUUUUUCCAUUUAUCAAUCCUCUAGCAACUUACCAUGAUAACAGAUAAGUCAUUAACAUUUAUCAUCUUCCAACAAUCCUGUAGAAAAAAAUUAGGAGAGUCAAACAUUUCUAAUACAAAAAAAGAUUUUUGAAUAUAUAAAGUUGUCAAGCUUUUACCUCUCUUUUCAUAUUUGUAAAGAACUCUGGAUAGUGAGAAACACCAACAUUGUUUACUGAAAUGAAAAAUGGAAAUGUUCCAUAUAGAAAGUAACACCAAAAGGUGUUAAAAAUGUUGUUUCAUUAAAUGCCCUAUAAACAAGGAACCUGUAAAUAAUUUAUUUUUCAAUGUAGUGCAAUGUAUAAGCUACACUUACACCCGAUAGAAACACUGUAGGAACUUAAAGAAAUGCAACACAUCACAGCCCAAGAGCCAAAAUUAUUAGGGUGAUUAAAUGCAUUUGUAUACU